Perognathus longimembris pacificus (Pacific pocket mouse) is the source of this 576-nucleotide non-coding RNA. NCBI's taxonomy places the organism in Eukaryota, Metazoa, Chordata, Mammalia, Rodentia, Heteromyidae. The record is from the annotation of a RefSeq genome assembly.
AUGGACUUGAGGACCCCUGCUCAGCUCCUGGGGCUCCUGCUGCUCUGGUUCCCAGGUGCCAGAUGUGACAUCCAGAUGACCCAGUCUCCAGCCACCCUGUCUGCAUCUCCAGGAGACAAAGUCUCUAUCACUUGCCGUGCCAGUCAGGGCAUUAGCAAUAAUUUAGCCUGGUAUCAGCAGAAACCAGGGAAAGCUCCAAAGCCCCUUAUCUAUUAUGCAACUAGUUUGGAAUCUGGGGUCCCAUCAAGGUUCAGUGGCAGUGGAUCUGGGACAGAGUUUACUCUCACUAUCAGCAGCCUGCAGCCUGAAGAUGUUGCCACUUAUUACUGUCAACAGCAUUAUAGUUCUCCUCCCACAGUGAUACAAUUCAUUACAAAAACCUCCCAGGGAAGCAGAAGCCUCACCCCACUGACCAGGUGUCAGCCUGCUGGUGUCAAGAAACACGCAAUUCUCUCCAGCUUUCCAAAUUUCGGAGGAACAUCACCUGAUGAUGCAACUCUGCAGGAAACCAGAAUGGCGAACAAAGCCAAUAAUCAGCAGAUUCCCAGAGCCCAGAGCAAGGGAGAGCAGCAGUGA